Molecule: non-coding RNA, 927 nt
Organism: Macaca mulatta (Rhesus monkey)
Lineage: Eukaryota; Metazoa; Chordata; Mammalia; Primates; Cercopithecidae
Source: the annotation of a RefSeq genome assembly
AUCUCAGUGCUUCAUUUCUGUCCUCCACCACGAUGGGGUCAACUGCCAUCCUCGCCCUCCUCCUGGCUGUUCUCCAAGGAGUCUGUGCCGAGGUGCAGCUGGUGCAGUCUGGAGCAGAGGUGAAAAGGCCCGGGGAAUCUCUGAGGAUCUCCUGUAAGACUUCUGGAUACAGCUUUACCAGCAGCUGGAUCAGCUGGGUGCGCCAGAUGCCCGGGAAAGGCCUGGAGUGGAUGGGGAGCAUCUAUCCUGGUGAUUCUGAUACCAGAUACAACCCGUCCUUCCAAGGCCACGUCACUAUCUCAGCCGACAAGUCCAUCAGCACCACCUACCUGCAGUGGAGCAGCCUGAAGGCCUCGGACACCGCCACGUAUUACUGUGCGAAAGUCACAGUGAGAGAAACCAGCACUGAGAGCACCAAAAACCCUCCACAGUGCAGGUGCAGAGUGAGCUGCCAGAGACUCCCUCCCCAGGGACCUCUCUAUCAUCUCGCGGAGGAAACACUUUUUGUCCUCAGGAGCCAGAACCAGAGAACAACGUGGGAGGGUUCCCAGCCCCUAAGGCAACUGGAUAGGGGACCUAACCAUGGGAGGUGGAUUCUCUGAGCGGGCUCUUGUGUGUUCUACAAGGUUGUUCAUGGUGAAUAUUACAUAGUUAACACCAAAAGCCUGCCUAACAGGCACCUCUUCAAUAUGACAGUAUUUUAAUUAGUGAAAAUUUUACACAGUUAAUCAUUGCUUGCUUGCCUUCCUCCCUCCUAUCCGCUCUCACUCCCUCCUUUUAUUUUCUACUUUUACAAAAUCAUUUAAUCACUUUUUGAAAUAUUAAUAGGUUCUCUUGUUUUUGUUAUUGUUUUCAUUAAUAAUAUGCCCUGAAUAAUUCAUCUUUGUGCCAAUUCAUAAGUAUUCGGUAUAACAAAGACUUCCUUCA